UGGAGUAGGGACGAAACGGACACCUGACGCCCAGGAGGAGCUAGCAGGCCGGAAACAGGGAAGAGGUGACGUCAGAGUGCUGGCGUGGCCUGGGCCAUUUCCAACGGGAUCUUAAAGCGGCGUGCUGCACGCGGUAGGGGUGGAGUCUAGGCCGAUUUUCCCGCGCUUCAUUGCCCCGCCCCCUGGAGGCGGGGGAAGGGGAGGGAAUAUUCUGAAAACUUGCCCUGACAUUCUCAUCAGCACGCAGAAUUUCAGAAGUCGUCUGCGAACCACCGCUCCUCAAACAAUACCCCGGCGGCGAGCCUCUGCAGCCUGCAGCGCACCCAGCCCCUCACAGCAGGCACGUGGGUAUUAAAAGUGGUUCUGUUACCCUGCCCUGGGGUCACUGGACCUCUGUACCCAGGAUACUCCGUAUGCCCUGAAAGUUGUGGGGAUAAUAGCAACUGUACUGAGGUGUGAAGUGGCACUUCUGGAUGGGACUCUUGGGGCCACCACUUACCAUAUGGUUCCCUUGGGCAAGUCACUCAACCUCCCUGAACCAGUUUUCUCAUGGGUAAAAUUGGCAUUGUAAUAACUAUUGACGUUGUUUUGUGAGGAUUAGAAGCGUUUAUAAUGUAAAAGUGCUUUGUAAAGUGAUGGACAAGUGGAAUUAGUAUCCCGCACUCCGCCACCUUCUUUUUCUUGGUUGCCUGCAGUUGCUGCAGCUCACAGCGCUCUUCCAUCACUGAGCAACUAACUAGAGUCGCAUAUCGGAUGUAGCCAACCCGCAGUCCAUUCCCACCUCCUUCUUAGUCUUUCUGUAUGGAAUAAUAAUUACUACUGCUAUACACUA
Manis pentadactyla (Chinese pangolin) is the source of this 832-nucleotide long non-coding RNA. RefSeq lists it as uncharacterized. The record is from RefSeq and is a predicted model, not a curated record. The transcript has 2 exons. Lineage: Eukaryota; Metazoa; Chordata; Mammalia; Pholidota; Manidae.